AACGAACGCUGGCGGCAUGCCUAACACAUGCAAGUCGAACGAUGCCUCCGGGCAUAGUGGCGCACGGGUGCGUAACGCGUGGGAAUCUGCCCUUGGGUUCGGAAUAACUCGCCGAAAGGCGAGCUAAUACCGGAUGAUGACGUAAGUCCAAAGAUUUAUCGCCCAAGGAUGAGCCCGCGUAGGAUUAGCUAGUUGGUGGGGUAAAGGCCCGCCAAGGCGACGAUCCUUAGCUGGUCUGAGAGGAUGAUCAGCCACACUGGGACUGAGACACGGCCCAGACUCCUACGGGAGGCAGCAGUGGGGAAUAUUAGACAAUGGGCGAAAGCCUGAUCCAGCAAUGCCGCGUGAGUGAUGAAGGCCUUAGGGUUGUAAAGCUCUUUUACCCGGGAUGAUAAUGACAGUACCGGGAGAAUAAGCUCCGGCUAACUCCGUG
Molecule: ribosomal RNA, 433 nt
Filed under: uncultured bacterium
Lineage: Bacteria
Description: partial 16S ribosomal RNA
Rfam family: Bacterial small subunit ribosomal RNA
Source: RNAcentral